RNAcentral lists this long non-coding RNA (2110 nucleotides) under Homo sapiens (human). RNAcentral's name for it is "non-protein coding lnc-CHMP2B-1:13". The record is from RNAcentral. Lineage: Eukaryota; Metazoa; Chordata; Mammalia; Primates; Hominidae.
AGAGGGCAGCAACCGACUUGUGCGAAAGGAGGGAACGUGUGGGUCUGCCAGGGUCCUGCAGGGGGGAUGAGACCCUCGCUCCGCUCCGGCGAUCCCUUCGCUCUCCACCCUCGGCCAGCCCCUCCUGUCCUCCAUCAGGCCUCGCUGAGGAUACCUCCUGGGUUCCAAAGCGCGAGUUGAACCUGAGCUUGACAUUCAUUCCGUCUCGUACAAAAGCCAUGCCUGCGGGGAGAGGGAGAAAAUUUCCUACAGGAGCCUCAAGACUGCGUUUCAGGAAGCCCUAGGACCCACUGAUCCUGCAGCUGCGCCUCUCACUCGCCUCAGGUCCUGAGCUGGAACGAUGGAAUCUAGCAGAAGUUGCCUUUCCAGAUUCAAACGGCUUCUAUGUGAGUUCCUGAAUCAUAACUUCUUCCUGUCCAUGUGCCCAGUUCCCAGGCUAGGCUAAGGGUGGAUUCACACAAAAGAAAUUAGUAGAAGAAAGAAUUUUGCUAAAUUUCUUUUCAGAAAGACUUUACUCAUUUAUCAGCAAUAAAUAGUAUCUGUUAUGAGUUAAAUUGUGUCUCCAAAAAGAUAUGCUGGGGUAAUAGCCACUGGGAACUUUGAAUGUAAUCUUAUUUGGAAAUAGGGUCUUUGCUAAUAUUAUCAAAUUAAGAUGAAGUCAUAUCAAAUUAAGUAUGACUGUCCUUAUAAGAGGAGAAGAGACACAGACACAGAGGAAAGACUGCCAUAUGAAGAUGGGGCAAGGAUUGGAGUUACAUUGCUACAAGCCAAGGAAUGCCUGGCACUACCAGAAGCUGGAGGAGACAAGGGAGGAUUAAUGUCCUUUAGGAGCUUCAAAGGAAAUAUGUCCCUCUCAACAACUUGACUUCUAAUGUUGUGAUGGUUAAUACUGAGUGUCAACUUGAUUGGGUUGAAGGAUACAAAGUAUUGAUCCUGGGUGUGUCUGUGCCAAAGGAGAUUAACAUUUGAGUCAGUGGGAUGGAAAGGCAGACGCACCCUUAAUCUGGGUGGGCAAAAUCUAAGCUGCUAGCAUGACUAGAAUAUAAGCAGGCAGAAAAAUGUGAAAAAGAGAGACUGGCCUAGACUCCCAGCCUACGUCUUUAUCCUGUGCUAGAUGCAUCCUGUCCUUGAACAUCAGACUCUUAAGUCCUUCAAUUUUGGAACUCACACUGGCUCUCCUUGCUCCUCAGCCUGCAGACAGCCUAUUGUGGGACCUUGUGAUCAUGUGAGUUAAUACUUAAUGAACUUAAUAAUAAAUUAAUAUUUAUAUAUUAAUACAUAAUGGAAUAUAUAUUCCAUUAGUUCUAUCCCUCUACAGAAUCCUAUUAGAAUGUCAAACUCUUAAAAACAUUGUUUUUUUUUUUUUUUUUUAGAGACGGUCUUGUUCUGUCACCCAGGUUUGAAUGCAGUGGCAUGAUCAUAACUAAAUGCAACCUCAAACUCCCCAGCUCAAGAGAUCCUUCCACUUCAGCCUCCCGAGUAGCUAGGACUACAGUCAUGCGCCACCACAGCCAGCUAAAUUUAUUUUUUUGUAAAGACAGUCUUUCAAUGUUGCCCAGACUGGUCUCAAACUCUUUGUCCCAAGUGACUCUCCUGCCUCGACCUCCCAAAGUGUUGGGAUUACAGGCGUGAGCCACCAUGUUAAAUGAGAAAAUAAAUUUACGCAGUUUUAAGCCAUCCAGCUUGUGAUACGUUGUUAUGGGAGCCCUAGGAAAUUAAUACACCAUUAUUUUCAAAGUGCUGCUAAUUUAUAAGACAACAUUGGUUUUUAAUUGUUCUGAUUUUCAAAAAUAUCUGCUGACUUAAAAUAUGAAGAUUGUAUUCAAGUGUUCUGAUUUUCAUUGAAGUUAAAAAUUUGUCUUAAAUACUAGACAUUUACUUCUAUCAAUUUUCUCACAAUGUUUUUAUACCUUUUUCUCAGUUAUUGUAACAUUAGUGUUCUUUUUAAUCAAUAUAUUAUGAAUGUCACUUUUUAUCCAUCACAUUAAUUACAAAUGUUUUUCUCUAGUUUUUGGUUUCCUAUAACUUACUUCCUAAAUAUAUAAAAUAAACAGAAAUAAUUUUAUGUGUGUAGAAUAUUUUUACUUAAGAAGAAUAGAUUGUCAAAUUA